GACGAGGUGGCCGAGUGGUUAAAAUUUUAUGGACUGCUAAUCCAUUGUGCUCUGCAAAUAUGGAUUCAAUCCCAUCCUCGUCG
Molecule: non-coding RNA, 83 nt
Organism: Gymnothorax javanicus (giant moray)
Lineage: Eukaryota; Metazoa; Chordata; Actinopteri; Anguilliformes; Muraenidae
Source: the annotation of a GenBank genome assembly